Molecule: ribosomal RNA, 433 nt
Filed under: uncultured bacterium
Lineage: Bacteria
Description: bacterial SSU rRNA
Rfam family: Bacterial small subunit ribosomal RNA
Source: RNAcentral
GACGAACGCUGGCGGCGUGCUUAACACAUGCAAGUCGAACGGUGAUCCCUGGCUUGCUGGGGUGAUCAGUGGCGAACGGGUGAGUAACACGUGAGUAACCUGCCCAUGGCUCUGGGAUAACCUGGGGAAACCGAGGCUAAUACCGGAUAUGACGCGCACAGGCAUCUGUUGCGUGUGGAAAGUUUUUCGGCCAUGGAUGGGCUCGCGGCCUAUCAGCUUGUUGGUGGGGUAAUGGCCUACCAAGGCGACGACGGGUAGCCGGCCUGAGAGGGCGAUCGGCCACACUGGGGACUGAGACACGGCCCAGACUCCUACGGGAGGCAGCAGUGGGGAAUAUUGCGCAAUGGGCGAAAGCCUGACGCAGCGACGCCGCGUGAGGGAUGAAGGCCUUCGGGUUGUAAACCUCUUUCAGCUCUGACGAAGCGUAAGUGAC